CCGAGCCGAUCGUGGGCGUCUUAUCCACCAAUCCCGCGUCCUUCUCGAGCCCCACAUCCCUCCUCCCCAUCAAUCCCCCGUCCUACUCCAGCCAUGCCUCGCCGCCACCUCUCCUUCCCCAUUCAUCCUCUCGAUACGCUGCCGCCGCCAUAUCUCUCCUCCCCACACAUCCUCUCUCCUCGUCACAUCUGGCCGGAGGAGAACAUUGCGGCGGCAUCUCCUGGCGAUGGCAGUGAGGGCGGGUGAGGCUGCAAGGCGACGAGCCAAGGCGGCGGAGGAUCCGGUUCGUAUGCUGUUGUUGUUGCCGAUGGACGGAUGAGGCGCUCUCAGGUCACUCCCCACGGGCCUCCUUCGUCUCCCAAGUCUCAACCAUGGCCGGCUCCAACCCCUCCUCUGUUGUUGUGCUCCUGUAGGAGAAGAAGAAGAAGAGUAGGCAUGAUCUCUGUAUACAUCCAGUGUAUUUGGUUGGAUUACUUUCGUUCUCUGAGAAAUUUGGCAUUGAAAAAUAAAAGAAAUAAGAGACCCACGGUCUGUACUUAAGGUCUAGGAUCUGCUAGGUUGGUGGAUCUGCGAGCUUGCGGUUCCUGUUGUUGAUCAACCGCUGCUUCGGUGGAGGUUUAAUCAACCAAGUGAGUGCAGUAGCAAACCAGCUGUGCGGCUUAUAGGAGCACUUGCGCCAUCUUUGUAAUGGUUGCUUUAUCUAGGUCUCCACAGGCUUGCCGUCAGAAGACAUUUUAAUGGUUUGUUAUCUCCCUUUCCAUUGUUUUCUAUCACUUAUGCCAUUCAGAUGACGUGUCUGACUCAGGAACUGUUUACUUUCACAUGCUAAAGAGCAAACAAUUGGAUUUGUUGUACUGCAUAUCUCUUAUUUUUUCGUUUGUGUGUUAUAUUAACUAGCUGUUCUGGUUAAGGUACUGCUGAAUCUGUUCCCACCAGAGGCCUCUCGUGGGCACGAUAUAUAUGUAAGUGAGGAAAACACAAACACCCUUGUCACUACUGGAGAGGAUGGCCUAAAAUUCUGGGAUUUAAGUGAAUUUGCACCUUGGGUGGGGUGACGAGGUUGCUGCGGCUAGGCUGCCGAUUGGCCAAGCAAACCCUACUGUGUCUACACCUCUGCAUGGGUACUUGCCGCUUUUGUAAACCUCACUGUCAUAACUGGAAUGAAUUGCAAAUAAAAUUGUAAGUUUCCUCGCGUAUUCUCACUUCAUUUGAAGCACUUUCCACAUCUGAUAGCCCAGGUGGGAUAUAAAUGGAACUUUCACUUAGAUAGUUGCAUUCUAAAAUACGUCUAUAUACAUCCAUAUGUAGUCCAAAUAGUAAUCUCUAAAAACACUUAUAUUUAGGAACGGAGGGAGUAAUUCUCUGACAAGUUCCUAUUGAUUACAUGUACGUAUGGUUUAUUUUCUACAGUUGGAAAAGGUCCUAAAAUAUCGUCGACAUGGUUUAUGUAUGGUCAGCAAAGGCCUUAAGCAUGUCUUCUGCAAGUUUUUGUUAGUUAUCACUUCAUAGCUUGGUCAAACUUUUUGGCCGGUGACAAGUUAUAGGUAAGGUCUCCAUCAUCUCCUUUAUUUCUUUGGAUCACUACAGUUCUUAUAGCUUUCCGAAUCAUGCAUGCCAUGGUGCAAACUCAAAUAUGUAAAUAAUGCGUUUCCUUUUUUUUGCUUGUCACUCUUGCUCUUAUCAGGCAAAGAAACAUAUAAAGAACUAAUUAUUGUGGUGGAUCUUGCAUUUCUGAUUAUCCAUUAUCCAUUACUUCUAAAACAGCAGCAGGUGGGUGAAUGAUUGGCUACCAACAGUUCCAUAUACUUCAUCAGCUUUGUGAUAGUAAGCAUAGUAACAUGUUCAAAUAUAUGUCCCAGGCGAACCAGCUGCUUAAGUACCAUUCUUAUAUUUAGCUUCGUGCUUAUAAUUCUUUUGUGCCAUCUAUGAUGAACUCCACACAGCCUUAUGUUUAGAUGUGGCAUGCUCCAUGCUAUGAACAUUGUAAUCCUCUAUCAUUAGCUUUCUUUUCUUAUACUACAUAUGUAUAAUGAUCAUCAAUAUAUACCCACAUAAUACUUGGUUAUAGUUAGCAUCUUGCGCCAUGGGCGCAACGGGUCAUCUAGACACAACAAAAGCGCCAAACCAUCAACCUAGACAACAAUAUUAAUGUUCGUAGACUGCGAAAGAUCAUCCAGAACACCACCACAUCUAAUCACUAGUAUGUCUGUCACAUGAUAGAAACAUUUGCUACAGACGGCAAAAGGAUGGUAAUCCUUUGCAAUUACUUUGUUUUGUUUCAUACAAUGACAUCGUAUAAAAUGAUAUACUAACUAACCUUUACUUUCAUUUUCAGUAUUUUGGGGUUCCCUUUUCUAAGAGCUCCCUUUUCUCACACAUGGAUGCUGACCAUGGUGAACUGCCAAUCACUACUGGAGACGGAACUACCGCUGUCACAGCCUGCUUUAUCAUGGGUGUUGACAAAAGGGCCACCAUCACUAGAGGCUGGAGUGACUUCUUUCGUCAGGCGCACAUGAAGAAAGGUCAAGCAUAUGCUUUCGACUUUAAAUGCACUUCCAAGAGACUGCGCCUGAUCGUCUACUCAAUAUAAACAAGUUGCAAGAGUCCCUUGUUAUAUAACCUAGCAUUAGUAGAGAUGUCUACUAAGACUUCUAUGUUUAUCAUUUGUCUAUUGCAUGUUCUCUGCUCAUUGCAGGUAUGCAAGCUCUUUUGAAACUCUUGGUGUAAAGAAAAAUAUUGUUGUUUGCCCUAUCAAGAAUAUUAGCUCGAAUAA
This is a long non-coding RNA of Triticum aestivum (bread wheat), 2773 nucleotides long. RefSeq lists it as uncharacterized. Lineage: Eukaryota; Viridiplantae; Streptophyta; Magnoliopsida; Poales; Poaceae. The transcript has 7 exons. The record is from RefSeq and is a predicted model, not a curated record.